RNAcentral lists this long non-coding RNA (651 nucleotides) under Homo sapiens (human). RNAcentral's name for it is "non-protein coding lnc-TRPM3-2:1". Lineage: Eukaryota; Metazoa; Chordata; Mammalia; Primates; Hominidae. The record is from RNAcentral.
UUUCUCCCCCUUGCACUGAUUUAGCUCCACAGUUGACACAGGCACUGGCGCUUACUCUAAGAGUCAGUCCUUGGAGCACAGGGGUUAGCUGUCAUUUGCAAACUCACCACCUACUGGAAGCAAAGCUAGAAGACGGGGCUGCCAAAGCCAACCACUGCAACCUGUGGCAGGCUUCCCUGCCCAGGCUCUCCCACUGCCCUUGGAGUGAGACCCCUCCCCCUCAAUCCUGCACAGCGACGUGGCUGGCUGGAGCUUUCCCCGCACCUGUCGCACCUCCUGGUUUUGGCAGAAUGAAGUGAGGAGACAGCUGGAGUCAUUAUAGUUCAUCUGUUUGAAGGUUGCCCAAAUGAAAAACAAACAAACAAAUCUGGUGAGUUUCGUGUUUCUUUUAAGUGUACAGAAAUGCAGCUGCUAAGUUGUGUAGGAGAUCAAAGGAGCCUUUUAAAUUCAAGACACCAAAGUGUUCUUGCUGGUUUGAUCCUUGGUGGAGAUUUGUUAGCAAACUUUAGAAGGAAGUUACAAAAGAGGAUUAGGUGUAUUAAACUUGUCUGAGCUGUGGAAAGUUCUUUGUAAAGCUCAUUGUGUGUUCAUUGCAGAUUUCUGUGGAGAAUGUGAUAGUGUAGUGAGCCCAGAGGUUGUGUUUUGGGUGAU